CAUUCAGUAGCUUGCUACUGUUAGGGGGGGUCUAUCAGCCUGUAUAGUGUAAAAACUGAUGAGCAGCACGACCCUCUGUCUGUACCCUUGUCUUUUGCGCACUCAAGUUUCCUCGGCGGGUCUACGCCCGCCGGUUGGACAACUCUAUAACUCUUUUAAUUUUCAAUCAGCGUCUGAAUAAAACCUAAUAAUUA
RNAcentral lists this unclassified non-coding RNA (194 nucleotides) under uncultured fungus. RNAcentral describes it as "sequence contains ITS1". Lineage: Eukaryota; Fungi. The record is from RNAcentral.